UUCCGGUUGAUCCUGCCGGAGGCCAUUGCUAUUGGGAUUCGAUUUAGCCAUGCUAGUCGUACGAGUUCAUACUCGUGGCGAAUAGCUCAGUAACACGUGGCCAAACUACCCUUCGGAGCACAAUACCCCCGGGAAACUGAGGUUAAUAGUGCAUACCACAAUCCAGCUGGAAUGAGGAUUGUGCCAAACGCUCCGGCGCCGAAGGAUGUGGCUGCGGCCGAUUAGGUAGACGGUGGGGUAACGGCCCACCGUGCCAAUAAUCGGUACGGGUCAUGAGAGUGAGAACCCGGAGACGGAAUCUGAGACAAGAUUCCGGGCCCUACGGGGCGCAGCAGGCGCGAAACCUUUACACUGCACGCCAGUGCGAUAAGGGAAUCCCAAGUGCGCAGGCAUAGAGCCUGCGCUUUUGUCCACCGUAGGGAGGUGGACGAAUAAGGGCUGGGCAAGACCGGUGCCAGCCGCCGCGGUAAUACCGGCAGCCCGAGUGAUGGCCGAUCUUAUUGGGCCUAAAGCGUCCGUAGCUGGCCGCACAAGUCCAUCGGAAAAUCCACCCGCUCAACGGGUGGGCGUCCGGUGGAAACUGUGUGGCUUGGGACCGGAAGGCGCGACGGGUACGUCCGGGGUAGGAGUGAAAUCCCGUAAUCCUGGACGGACCGCCGAUGGCGAAAGCACGUCGCGAAGACGGAUCCGACAGUGAGGGACGAAAGCCAGGGUCUCGAACCGGAUUAGAUACCCGGGUAGUCCUGGCCGUAAACAAUGUCUGUUAGGUGUGGCUCCCACUACGAGUGGGUGCUGUGCCGUAGGGAAGCCGCUAAACAGACCGCCUGGGAAGUACGUCCGCAAGGAUGAAACUCAAAGGAAUUGGCGGGGGAGCACUACAACCGGAGGAGCCUGCGGUUUAAUUGGAUUCAACGCCGG
Molecule: ribosomal RNA, 918 nt
Filed under: uncultured archaeon
Lineage: Archaea
Description: bacterial SSU rRNA
Rfam family: Archaeal small subunit ribosomal RNA
Source: RNAcentral